GAUUCCAUGGUAUAGUGGUGAGCACAUCUGCUUUACAUGCAGAAGGUCCUGAGUUCAUGCUCCAGUAGAGCCA
Molecule: transfer RNA, 73 nt
Filed under: Pteropus alecto (black flying fox)
Lineage: Eukaryota; Metazoa; Chordata; Mammalia; Chiroptera; Pteropodidae
Rfam family: tRNA
About the family: Transfer RNA (tRNA) molecules are approximately 80 nucleotides in length. Their secondary structure includes four short double-helical elements and three loops (D, anti-codon, and T loops). Further hydrogen bonds mediate the characteristic L-shaped molecular structure. tRNAs have two regions of fundamental functional importance: the anti-codon, which is responsible for specific mRNA codon recognition, and the 3' end, to which the tRNAs corresponding amino acid is attached (by aminoacyl-tRNA synthetases). tRNAs cope with the degeneracy of the genetic code in two manners: having more than one tRNA (with a specific anti-codon) for a particular amino acid; and 'wobble' base-pairing, i.e. permitting non-standard base-pairing at the 3rd anti-codon position.
Source: Rfam by way of RNAcentral